Molecule: long non-coding RNA, 2639 nt
Organism: Amborella trichopoda
Lineage: Eukaryota; Viridiplantae; Streptophyta; Magnoliopsida; Amborellales; Amborellaceae
Source: RefSeq, a predicted model, not a curated record
UCGUCCGUAAAAAUCCAAAGAACCCACAGAAGUCCACCUAUUAUUUGAACAGCAGAGAUUGAUUUUUCCAAGUGGAUGCUCUCUCUCCAUUCAUAAGUGGCCAUCCUGGGCAAUGAAUCCAAUUCAUCUAAGAGACAAAAUCGUUCAAAUGCUUGUCCUUCCAAUCCAUGAAAUCCUAGUCUCCUUUCUUGAGGUCUCAGCUAACUCUCUUUGAUACUCCACACCCUCAAAUGCAUCUAGAACGUAUUAACAAUUUGAGACGCCCAAAAGAAGCUUUCCAGUGACUUGCUUCUCGUCAACAGAAGAAGAAAGUUGGGUAAACAUGUCCUUUAUGCUAGACCUUCGAAAGUCAUUGAGGAGCGCAGGAGGUGAAUAGCUGGAUAAACGCGUCCGCCAGAAGGCUCCCGUACACAAGGGUUCUAUGUAGACUGUAGAAUGGGCGGAGUUACUGACUCCUGGGCAGAGACAAGCACUUGCCAGGAUAGGUUUGUGGGACAUCUGUAGGAUCAGGCCUUUUAGCUUGGAUGAUGCUUUGAUCAUUGAGUUAUGCCUUUGAUAUAUACCGGAGACCAGCUCGAUUCCUUAUGAUGUGACGAACUUGCUCCUACUCUUGAGGAUGUUAGCCAGAUUCUUGAGGUUCAGAGUGAGGGUGAGCCUUUUCUUAGUAUUCCCCCAGAGUCGUCUAUUAGUUAUGCCUCUGACUGUAAGGAAUUGUUUAGUAUUCCUUAUGAAAAGAUCAAGGGCAUGCAUGAAUCAUAGAUCCAUCUUGGGAAGCUAAGGUGGGAAUUUACUCAUGUUCCCCAUCGUGUAGAAAGGAUGACGGGUGGUCGUGCUCCUCACAUUUCGAUUUCCGCAGGUAGUAGACCAUCCCAUAGAGGGAAGGCCCAAAUGGAGGAGGGCAGCGAGUCGAGGGGUCCUAGAGUGAGUGGGUCGGUUCAUGGCGAAUCUAGCCGUCCUCCGACUAGAGCGGCUAUCCAAGCUUUGGCAGAGUUGAGUGUCCGGUCAUCAGUGGAUCCAGAGGGAGUUGAGCGUGACGCUCCCGAGCUUGACGGUGUAGAUAUGGAUGGGGGUGCAUUUUUAGAUGAGGACACGAUACCUCCUCCAAUGUUGCUUUCUAAUGAGGAGUGGCGAGACCAAGAGAGAGAGAAGAUUUGAGAUGCGCAUGAGCGGGUCAUGAUUGAGGAUGAGCCAUAGUUGUUUCGACAGGAGGUGGAUUUGACCAUCGAUCAUGAGCCACUUUCAGAUGGUGAGAAAUGUUCCUUGCGGGCUUUUUUCGUAUAUUUGUUUGGGGAGUAUCUGUUUUCUGAUCGAUCCAAUGUUCGAGCUCAUUUAUCGGUGGUUUAGCCGACCAGACGGCUGGAUUAUUUGGAGCCAGUAGCCCGAGGUCCGGCGAUUGUGGGCUGGUUACACCAUCAUCUUUGUAGUGUUGCCAAGAGGGGCCGCUAUUUGGGGGUGUUCAAUUCUUCUCUAGGGUUGGGCAUGGGAACAUAUCACUAUUCCUCGCCCACUUCCAGGUUAGCACUGUCAUUUAUGACUAUUCAUCGUUGGUCAUAUGGAGUGUGGGAGACUGACGAGGUCUUCUCAAGAUUGUACUACUCUCUAUUCUUUGAUACCCAGGCCACCGGGGAGAUUGACUAGACUCCUAUGAGAGUUGACCCUGUCUCAGCGAUUUAUGCCGCAUAUUCUCGAACUUUCAGGACGACGACCCAUUUGAUCUGCAUGUUCUUAGUAAUGUCAUACUUUUCGGGUCGAGUACGACAUCAGUUUGGCCUUCCUCAGUCUUCCUUCAAGAUUACUCUGCCAUGGACUCCAAUUAUGGUCAGCACUGCUAAUGAGGAUGCCUAUAUGAGAAAGAUGACUCCUUGGAUGGAGGAGUGGACGGAUAUGACUGCUCAUGUUAUCGGUGAGGAGGAGGAGGAGGAGAGCAUUUAUUUGUCUUUAUAUGAGGAGAAAUACCGAGUUGUUUUGAGAGAUGUAGCCGCCCUGAUUGAUCAUGGUGAGGGAAUGAUGCGACAGCUGAGGACUGCCUAUCUUGGCGGGGAUCAAUUUUCUGGUGAGGAAGUCGCUUCUCUUCCUGCUGAACGUGACUCGGUGAUAGAGGAGCGAGAUUCGAUUGCUGAGGAUCUCAAGAGUCUUCGUUGCGACUUUAAGGGGAUGAGAGAAGCAAGGGACAUGACAAAAGCGGAGCGUGAUUCUAUCAGGGAUGAGUUGGAGAGAGUUCGUGCUUAGCUGGAAAGAGUACAAUCGGUACCAUCUUCUUCUGUUGUUGUUCCCACCCUUCCUGGACCAUCUCCUGUCCGCAUUGAAGAUUUAGAGAGACGUCUAGAUCGCUACUGAUUGGAGAGGAAUUCAGCCAGAGAUCGAUGCCAUGAGCUUCUGAAGAAUGUGAAAGGUCUUAUAAAUAUAAGUGGUUAAUUGUCAAGGCUUCUAUUGGCAGCGGGUGGUAACCUUCUUUUGUAGAUGCAAACCCUUAUGUGAGGGUGCUGCUCCCAUCUUUCGCUUGGAGUCAGUCGCAAUCUCGGGCAUCUACUUAGGUGACAAAGAGUCUGAGGGGGGUACAACAGAGGUUGGAGGGAGAGGCAAGCACUCGUACACCAAAGGUUGAGGAGGAUUCAGGGUCCAAGAUGUGACCUUUCUUC